GAUGAACGCUGGCGGCGUGCCUAAUACAUGCAAGUCGAGCGAACAGAUAAGGAGCUUGCUCCUUUGACGUUAGCGGCGGACGGGUGAGUAACACGUGGGUAACCUACCUAUAAGACUGGAAUAACUCCGGGAAACCGGGGCUAAUGCCGGAUAACAUGUUGAACCGCAUGGUUCUACAGUGAAAGGCGGCUUUGCUGUCACUUAUAGAUGGACCCGCGCCGUAUUAGCUAGUUGGUGAGGUAACGGCUCACCAAGGCAACGAUACGUAGCCGACCUGAGAGGGUGAUUGGCCACACUGGAACUGAGACACGGUCCAGACUCCUACGGGAGGCAGCAGUAGGGAAUCUUCCGCAAUGGGCGAAAGCCUGACGGAGCAACGCCGCGUGAGUGAUGAAGGUCUUCGGAUCGUAAAACUCUGUUAUUAGGGAAGAACAAAUGCGUAAGUAACUGUGCGCGUCUUGACGGUACCUAAUCAGAAAGCCACGGCUAACUACGUG
RNAcentral lists this ribosomal RNA (497 nucleotides) under uncultured bacterium. RNAcentral's name for it is "partial 16S ribosomal RNA". It matches the Rfam family "Bacterial small subunit ribosomal RNA", at positions 28 to 507 of the family's 1533-position model. The record is from RNAcentral.